Thunnus maccoyii (southern bluefin tuna) is the source of this 368-nucleotide long non-coding RNA. RefSeq lists it as uncharacterized. The record is from RefSeq and is a predicted model, not a curated record. NCBI's taxonomy places the organism in Eukaryota, Metazoa, Chordata, Actinopteri, Scombriformes, Scombridae. The transcript is spliced from 2 exons.
AAGGAUACUACAACAAAUGCAAUAAUAUAUUUCUUACCAGAACUUCUGCUGAGGACUGAGACCAGGCUAUAGAAUGCUGCUGGAGUGCAUAAGAUGGCCGCGUCUCAGCCAGAGCCAAUCCGGAGAGGUUUUACUUUCGCACAUGGACCGGAGUCUCUCCUCAGUGCACACAUGACAGGAGCGGGAGAAUUGCCCUCCAGUGUGGGUACAUGUCGACCUCUACUGGCUAAGCGACAUACUGCCAUACAUUGAGUCAUUAACCACACUGUCUGUCGUGUUCAACAGUGUUCUCAUUGUGACUGUAUGAAAUUCAUGACACUUUUAGACUCUUAUGGCAUAAAAGUAUAAUAAAACCAUACUUCAAUGUC